This 253-nucleotide ribosomal RNA is filed under the name uncultured bacterium. Its description in RNAcentral is "partial 16S ribosomal RNA". It matches the Rfam family "Bacterial small subunit ribosomal RNA", at positions 524 to 776 of the family's 1533-position model. The record is from RNAcentral.
UACGGAGGGUGCAAGCGUUGUCCGGAAUCACUGGGCGUAAAGGGCGCGUAGGCGGCUCAUGAAGGCUGUGGUGAAAGUCCGGGGCUCAACCUCGGAUCGGCCGUGGCGACUCGUGGGCUGGAGCACUGUAGAGGCGGGUGGAAUUCCGGGUGUAGCGGUGGAAUGCGUAGAGAUCCGGAAGAACACCAGUGGCGAAGGCGGCCCGCUGGGCAGUGGCUGACGCUGAGACGCGAAAGCGUGGGGAGCAAACAGG